UAAAGUGGACAGGGAGGGUUUGUCAGUUUAAAGCAGAUGUCAAGACAAUUUGAUCAAGGCAAUUUUGACAAUAAAAGACUGGUAUGUAGGUAGAUCAUUGAGUUUACACACAUGUACUGUUUUGAUAGGAGUGCAUGGAGGAUGGGUGCAGCUUGGACAUACUGACUAUCGACAACACUUAAUACUUCCUAUGCAAUAAAUGGAAGCAGAAUACAACCUGAUCCACUGUUGCGCAUUAUACUGACAGUGAAGGCAACUUCUGACUGCAAGGGCACUCACUAUAGCUGACCAAUCAAAGUGACAAGAUCUUUCUGAAAUAACUGCUUAUCUACAUGUACUGAUGACUGGAUUUUUUGAUAGACCACACAGUCAUCAGCAAAAA
This 382-nucleotide long non-coding RNA is filed under the name Acanthaster planci (crown-of-thorns starfish). RNAcentral describes it as "uncharacterized LOC110977171, transcript variant X2". The record is from RNAcentral. Lineage: Eukaryota; Metazoa; Echinodermata; Asteroidea; Valvatida; Acanthasteridae.